CUUUAGCAUAUGGUAUCCCAGCUGUGCCUGAGCAGUGUUAUGGGGGAAGUCUUGUUGAGACAGGCCAGUGUGAUGUAGGAAAGCAGGCUACUAGUUGUGUCUCAGGAGUUGAGAGAGCCCAGGUGACCCAGCUUGCCUCCUAGCUAGAUGUGCUAUGGGAUCAGUUAUCUCCCUUAGUGAAAGUGUAAUGACUUAUCUAGAUAAAGCCUGAUAUUUUAACAGUGAUCAUGAUACCAUAUCUGCUCAACUGGUACAAUCUGCCAACAUAAAAACUCAAGGUAACUCUUUGAGUGUUGUGUUAGGCUAGGUCUCACAAUUAAAACUAUGGUGUUUCUGAUAGAUAGAUUAAACACUCACUUUUAAAUGUGAAGUGGAAGUAUUCAAGGCUGGAAUGGAUGGGGCCUUGGGCAACCUGAUCUAGUGCAUGGUAACUCUGCCCAUGGAAGGAUGUUGGAAAUAGAUUAUGUUUAAGGUCCUUUCCAACCCAACCCAUUCUAUGAUUCUGUUAUCUUGCAGUGGUGUCCAAGAAGAAGAAAAACCCCUUUGAACAAACCUGAAAAUUUCUCAUGCUGUAUCUCAUGCCGGGAUAACAGGCUCUCUGAAAACUCUAGAACUGAAAAGUGCCCAGUUCUUUCUCAUCUGAGGAUAAGCUUUGUUGGAUAAAAAACAUAUUGUGCAAUUCAUGAGAAUCUUUCUGAUUGGAUAAUGAAAUAAAGUGAUUUUCAAUCAAGGGACUGUGUUUUUA
This 745-nucleotide long non-coding RNA is filed under the name Numida meleagris (helmeted guineafowl). Its description in RNAcentral is "lncRNA (ENSNMEG00000006510.1)". The record is from RNAcentral. Lineage: Eukaryota; Metazoa; Chordata; Aves; Galliformes; Numididae.